GAGGUCCGGGGAAACACAGAACCUCAGAUGGUCACUUUCCUGUACCACCUGCCUGCACUCGCACCAAUGACAAGCGCUCCUCGAAUGUGGGAAAGGAUGUUGCUAAGGGAAGGAAAUUAAUUAGACCUUCUAAGGCUAAAUAUGAUGACGUGACCGAUAGCACACAGGUUCCGCGAGGGAAAGGUGAAAAGCAACCAUGAAAAAUGGGUUGAAACAGUAGUGAAAGCGCUACCGGGAUAAAGGCUAUCGGGUGCUGGGGCUUCUCGGGUGUGCUUUAGUGCUACCCUUGGAGACGGCCCGCGUGGGUUGAGUGGGGCGAUAAACGCAUUGAAGGAAUUUGCUGCCUCCGGACAGUGUUGUAGCCUGCGGUUGCUGAUCCCCCUGCAACCUUUUGUAAUUGCUAGUCUUGCGACCGUGAGCCAACCGUCGUGAAACGCGGACCAAGGAAUGCACCUUGCAUGCGAGUCGAAGAGAUCCGAAGCCUGGAAGCGUAACGAACACGACGAUGGAAAAUGUCCUUGUGGCAGACACCCGCACCCGCCUUGUGCAAGGUAUAGCAUGUACGGUGCGACCCGAAAGAUGGUGAACUAUGCCCGGGAAGGGUGAAGCGAGUGGAAACGCUGGGAAGAGGCCUGUAGCGAUUCUAGACAUGCAGAUCAAUCUCGUAACCUGGGUAUAGGGGCGAUAGACCUAUCGAAUGCGUCUGAUGGCUGGUGCCCUCCGAGUCGAAAAGAUGAAAAAAAAUGGUUUCU
RNAcentral lists this ribosomal RNA (752 nucleotides) under Tulasnella sp. CMU-STE 014. RNAcentral's name for it is "LSU rRNA". It matches the Rfam family "Eukaryotic large subunit ribosomal RNA", at positions 182 to 1003 of the family's 3401-position model. The record is from RNAcentral. Lineage: Eukaryota; Fungi; Basidiomycota; Agaricomycetes; Cantharellales; Tulasnellaceae.